RNAcentral lists this ribosomal RNA (496 nucleotides) under uncultured bacterium. RNAcentral's name for it is "partial 16S ribosomal RNA". It matches the Rfam family "Bacterial small subunit ribosomal RNA", at positions 28 to 506 of the family's 1533-position model. The record is from RNAcentral.
GAUGAACGCUGGCGGCGUGCCUAAUACAUGCAAGUCGAGCGAACAGACGAGGAGCUUGCUCCUCUGACGUUAGCGGCGGACGGGUGAGUAACACGUGGAUAACCUACUUAUAAGACUGGGAUAACUUCGGGAAACCGGAGCUAAUACCGGAUAAUAUAUUGAACCGCAUGGUUCAAUAGUGAAAGACGGUUUUGCUGUCACUUAUAGAUGGAUCCGCGCCGCAUUAGCUAGUUGGUAAGGUAACGGCUUACCAAGGCGACGAUGCGUAGCCGACCUGAGAGGGUGAUCGGCCACACUGGAACUGAGACACGGUCCAGACUCCUACGGGAGGCAGCAGUAGGGAAUCUUCCGCAAUGGGCGAAAGCCUGACGGAGCAACGCCGCGUGAGUGAUGAAGGUCUUCGGAUCGUAAAACUCUGUUAUUAGGGAAGAACAAAUGUGUAAGUAACUAUGCACGUCUUGACGGUACCUAAUCAGAAAGCCACGGCUAACUACGU